CCUGUGUUGCUUGGAUGGUCUAUUCUCUAGAUGAUCUUGUAUUAACAUUAUGGAGAAUAGUUUAUUAGCUUAUCUUUGGAAUAUAGGGGGGAAUGGGUUCGAAUAGUGUUUCAAAAGCUUUUCACAAAAACAAUGUUUAAUAACUAUUGCAAUGUUAGUUAAACUACAAGAGUUGUUAAAUGCUUAUGUUUUCACCAAGUAUUUAGGAAAACAUUUUAAACAGGACAAAUAAUGACACAAGUAUUUUUAUAUUGGUUCACUCAACCUGAGCUACAUCCAGUCUCCUUUAAGAAAUAUUAAAGGGUUCCAUUAAUCUUAUACAAGAUUACAAAAG
Molecule: long non-coding RNA, 334 nt
Filed under: Vigna radiata
Lineage: Eukaryota; Viridiplantae; Streptophyta; Magnoliopsida; Fabales; Fabaceae
Description: long non-coding RNA (VRAD_LNC002186)
Source: RNAcentral